GACAGAGGGGGCAAGCGUUGUCCGGAUUUACUGGGCGUAAAGAGCGCGCAGGCGGUCGGAUAAGUCGAAUGUGAAAGCCCCCGGCUCAACUGGGGAGGGUCAUUCGAUACUGUUCGACUCGAGGGCAGGAGAGGGAAGUGGAAUUCCCGGUGUAGUGGUGAAAUGCGUAGAUAUCGGGAGGAACACCAGUGGCGAAGGCGACUUCCUGGCCUGUUCUUGACGCUGAGGCGCGAAAGCUAGGGGAGCAAACGGG
RNAcentral lists this ribosomal RNA (253 nucleotides) under uncultured bacterium. Its description in RNAcentral is "partial 16S ribosomal RNA". It matches the Rfam family "Bacterial small subunit ribosomal RNA", at positions 524 to 776 of the family's 1533-position model. The record is from RNAcentral.